Molecule: transfer RNA, 77 nt
Filed under: bacterium ADurb.Bin400
Lineage: Bacteria
Also listed under: 1 other name
Description: tRNA-Pro
Rfam family: tRNA
About the family: Transfer RNA (tRNA) molecules are approximately 80 nucleotides in length. Their secondary structure includes four short double-helical elements and three loops (D, anti-codon, and T loops).
Source: RNAcentral
CGGGGUGUGGCUCAGUUGGCUAGAGCGCCGCGUUUGGGACGCGGAGGUCCCCAGUUCGAGUCUGGGCACCCCGACCA